This 511-nucleotide ribosomal RNA is filed under the name uncultured archaeon. Its description in RNAcentral is "bacterial SSU rRNA". It matches the Rfam family "Archaeal small subunit ribosomal RNA", at positions 346 to 859 of the family's 1478-position model. The record is from RNAcentral.
ACCUCUGCAAUAGGCGAAAGCUUGACAGGGUUACUCUGAGUGACUUUCGUUAAGAAAGUCUUUUGACACCUCUAAAAAUGGUGUAGAAUAAGGGGUGGGCAAGUCUGGUGUCAGCCGCCGCGGUAAUACCAGCACCCCGAGUGGUCGGGACGAUUAUUGGGCCUAAAGCAUCCGUAGCCGGCCUUACAAGUCCUCCGUUAAAUCCAGCUGCUUAACAGAUGGGCUGCGGAGGAUACUAUAAGACUAGGAGGCAGGAGAGGCAAGCGGUACUCAGUGGGUAGGGGUAAAAUCCGUUGAUCCAUUGAAGACCACCAGUGGCGAAGGCGGCUUGCCAGAAUGCGCUCGACGGUGAGGGAUGAAAGCUGGGGGAGCAAACCGGAUUAGAUACCCGGGUAGUCCCAGCUGUAAACGAUGCAGACUCGGUGAUGGACUAGCUUUAUGCUGGUCCAGUGCCGCAGGGAAGCCGUUAAGUCUGCCGCCUGGGUAGUACGGUCGCAAGACUGAAACUUAA